This 347-nucleotide unclassified non-coding RNA is filed under the name uncultured Diversispora. RNAcentral describes it as "sequence contains ITS1". The stretch from base 1 to 104 matches the Rfam family "5.8S ribosomal RNA", at positions 50 to 154 of the family's 154-position model. Lineage: Eukaryota; Fungi; Glomeromycota; Glomeromycetes; Diversisporales; Diversisporaceae. The record is from RNAcentral.
GAAAUGCGAUACGUAAUGUGAAUUGCAGAUUCCGUGAAUCAUCGAAUCUUUGAACGCAAAUUGUACUUUCCAGUAAUCUGGGGAGUAUGCUUGGUUGAGGGUCAUUAAAAUAACAUUCGUGAAUUUUUUCGCGGAUUUGAGUUUUCCAGUAUUUAUUAUAAUGAUAAAUGUUGGUGACUUUAAAAUUAUUUAUAACUUGGUACAAGUUGAAAACGUUCUAUAUGUGUGGUUCGCUGACAACUUGUCCAUCUCUAUAUACUAUGCGCGCACUUGGUUUUUUUACACUCUGUGCGAACAUAUAUUUUUUUUAUGACCUCAGCUCAAGCAAGAAUACCCGCUGAACUUAA